CGUGUAGGCGGCCAUUUAAGUCUGGAGUGAAAGUCCUGUUUUUAAGGUGGGAAUUGCUUUGGAUACUGGAUGGCUUGAGUGCAGGAGAGGUUAUCGGAAUUCCCGGUGUAGCGGUGAAAUGCGUAGAGAUCGGGAGGAACACCAGUGGCGAAGGCGGGUAACUGGACUGCAACUGACGCUGAGGCGCGAAAGUGUGGGGAGCAAACA
Molecule: ribosomal RNA, 207 nt
Filed under: uncultured bacterium
Lineage: Bacteria
Description: partial 16S ribosomal RNA
Rfam family: Bacterial small subunit ribosomal RNA
Source: RNAcentral